UCCUACGGGGGGCAGCAGUAGGGAAUAUUGGGCAAUGGAUGCAAGUCUGACCCAGCCAUGCCGCGUGCCGGAUGAAGGCCCUCAGGGUUGUAAACGGCUUUUAUUCGGGAAGAAGAGCAGGGAUGCGUCCUUGUGUGACGGUACCGAAUGAAUAAGCACCGGCUAACUCCGUGCCCGCAGCCGCGGUAAUACGGAGGGUGCGAGCGUUGUCCGGAUUUAUUGGGUUUAAAGGGUGCGUAGGUGGCCUUAUAAGUCAUUGGUGAAAUACGGUUGCUCAACAAUCGAGGUGCCAUUGAUACUGUGAGGCUUGAAAUAAUUGGAGGCUGCCGGAAUGGAUGGUGUAGCGGUGAAAUGCAUAGAUAUCAUCCAGAACACCGAUUGCGAAGGCAGGUGGCUACGAUUGGUUUGACACUGAGGCACGAAAGCAUGGGGAGCAAACAGGAUUAGAUACCCGGGUAGUCA
This 462-nucleotide ribosomal RNA is filed under the name uncultured Dyadobacter sp. Its description in RNAcentral is "bacterial SSU rRNA". It matches the Rfam family "Bacterial small subunit ribosomal RNA", at positions 337 to 796 of the family's 1533-position model. The record is from RNAcentral. Lineage: Bacteria; Pseudomonadati; Bacteroidota; Cytophagia; Cytophagales; Spirosomataceae.